RNAcentral lists this ribosomal RNA (199 nucleotides) under uncultured bacterium. RNAcentral describes it as "partial 16S ribosomal RNA". It matches the Rfam family "Bacterial small subunit ribosomal RNA", at positions 326 to 539 of the family's 1533-position model. The record is from RNAcentral.
ACGCUCGACACCUACGGCAGGCAGCAGUGGGGAAUAUUGCACAAUGGGGGAAACCCUGAUGCAGCGACGCCGCGUGGAGGAAGAAGGUCUUCGGAUUGUAAACUCCUGUUGUUGGGGAAAAAGAGGAUGGUACCCAACAAGGAAGUGACGGCUAACUACGUGCCAGCAGCCGACGGUAAUCUGAGCGGGCUGGCAAGGC